This is a transfer RNA of 72 nucleotides. It matches the Rfam family "tRNA". From Rfam's summary of the family: Transfer RNA (tRNA) molecules are approximately 80 nucleotides in length. The record is from Rfam.
GGAAAUAUAGCUCAACGGUAGAGCUACUCCCUGUUAAGGAGAAGGUUGUUGGUUCGAAUCCAGCUAUUUCCG